This 465-nucleotide ribosomal RNA is filed under the name uncultured bacterium. RNAcentral's name for it is "partial 16S ribosomal RNA". It matches the Rfam family "Bacterial small subunit ribosomal RNA", at positions 338 to 795 of the family's 1533-position model. The record is from RNAcentral.
CCUACGUGAGGCUGCAGUAGGGAAUCUUCCACAAUGGGCGAAAGCCUGAUGGAGCAACGCCGCGUGGGUGAAGAAGGUCUUCGGAUCGUAAAACCCUGUUGUUAGAGAAGAAAGUGCGUGAGAGUAACUGUUCACGUUUCGACGGUAUCUAACCAGAAAGCCACGGCUAACUACGUGCCAGCAGCCGCGGUAAUACGUAGGUGGCAAGCGUUAUCCGGAUUUAUUGGGCGUAAAGGGAACGCAGGCGGUCUUUUAAGUCUGAUGUGAAAGCCUUCGGCUUAACCGGAGUAGUGCAUUGGAAACGGGGAGACUUGAGUGCAGAAGAGGAGAGUGGAACUCCAUGUGUAGCGGUGAAAUGCGUAGAUAUAUGGAAGAACACCAGUGGCGAAAGCGGCUCUCUGGUCUGUAACUGACGCUGAGGUUCGAAAGCGUGGGUAGCAAACAGGAUUAGAUACCCUUGUAGUC